Molecule: long non-coding RNA, 573 nt
Organism: Oncorhynchus keta (chum salmon)
Lineage: Eukaryota; Metazoa; Chordata; Actinopteri; Salmoniformes; Salmonidae
Exons: 2
Source: RefSeq, a predicted model, not a curated record
UGCAGAUUCUGGGGUUAAGUCCCAUCCUGUAGGCAGGUUGUGGGAUUUAGCACCAUCCUGCAGAUUCUGGGGUUAAGUCCCAUCCUGUAGGCAGGUUGUGGGGUUUAGCACCAUCCUGCAGGUUCUGGGGGUUAAGUCCCAUCCUGUAGGCAGGUUGUGGGGUUUAGCACCAUCCUGCAGAUUCUGGGGGUUAAGUCCCAUCCAGUCUGCAGGUUGUGGGAUUUAGCACCAUCCUGCAGGUUCUGGGGGUUAAGUCCCAUCCAGUCUGCAGGUUGUGGGAUUUAGCCCCAUCCUGCAGGUUCUGGGGUUAAGUCCCAUCCAGUCUGCAGGUUGUGGGGUUUAGCCCCAUCCUGCAGGUUCUGGGGUUAAGACCCUGCCCUGUGUUUGCUGAACCAUCAGUGGGCAUGGCAACACGUAUCCUGGCUACACCACUGCGUGUCUCUGUCCCUACCCAGUCUACAUCCUCUGCUUCCAUAGGUGUUGUGAUGAGAUAGCCCCUCCCCUGUCCUUGUAUGUGCAUGCACGAUGGUUCUUCCACUUAACAAUAACAAUCAAUAAAGUUUGUCAAGAUAA